UACUCGAGUGGCGAACGGGUGAGUAACACGUGGGUGAUCUGCCCUGUACUUUGGGAUAAGCCCGGGAAACUGGGUCUAAUACCGAAUAUGACCACUUCUUGGAUGGGGUGGUGGAAAGCUUUUGCGGUAUGGGAUGAGCUCGCGGCCUAUCAGCUUGUUGGUGGGGUAAUGGCCUACCAAGGCGUCGACGGGUAGCCGGCCUGAGAGGGUGUACGGCCACAUUGGGACUGAGAUACGGCCCAG
Molecule: ribosomal RNA, 243 nt
Filed under: uncultured Actinomycetales bacterium
Lineage: Bacteria; Bacillati; Actinomycetota; Actinomycetes; Actinomycetales
Description: partial 16S ribosomal RNA
Rfam family: Bacterial small subunit ribosomal RNA
Source: RNAcentral